RNAcentral lists this ribosomal RNA (333 nucleotides) under Mecolaesthus arima. Its description in RNAcentral is "partial 12S ribosomal RNA". Lineage: Eukaryota; Metazoa; Arthropoda; Arachnida; Araneae; Pholcidae. The record is from RNAcentral.
AUUCGUUCACAUUAGGUAGUAUUAUUUAAACAUAAAAACCAAUUAAAUUUGACAGUCAUUUAAUUCAUUAAAGGAGUUCGUUUUAUAAUCGACAUUACUCGUUCUAUUUCACUUAAUUAUAAUAAUUUACAUACCGCCGUUAUUAAGAAAAUUAAAAAAACUUUUCAAAAUAUUUAUCAAUAAAAAAUCAGGUCAAGGUGUAAUAAAAUAAAAAGGAAAAAUUAACUACUUAUAAAAAUCAUUUAUUAAUUAAAAUAAUUAAAAUAUUUUAUAAUUAGAAUUUAUAAUCAAUAAACAUUAAUUAAAUUAUUCUGAAAAAUAAAAUUAUGAUGU